Molecule: ribosomal RNA, 192 nt
Filed under: uncultured bacterium
Lineage: Bacteria
Description: partial 16S ribosomal RNA
Rfam family: Bacterial small subunit ribosomal RNA
Source: RNAcentral
AACUCGACUGCAUGAAGCUGGAAUCGCUAGUAAUCGCGGAUCAGAAUGCUGCGGUGAAUACGUUCCCGGGUCUUGUACACACCGCCCGUCACACCAUGGGAGUCGGAAAUGCCCGAAGCCGGUGACCCAACCAAAAGGAGGGAGUCGUCGAAGGCAGGUCUGAUAACUGGGGUGAAGUCGUAACAAGGUACC